UUAAGACGAGUUACCGCUUUUAUUAAUUGUAGAAGCUGGAAUGCCAGGAAAGACAUUCAGCAAGACAACUGAAAAUCCUAGUCAAUUAAGAUGAGUUAAAAGCACCAGUCACAUGCUGUGUUCGAACUCGUAACACCUCCGUCUUGACUGACAAGUGAUCAAUAAGAUGAACUAAUAACAAAAUUAAGCUACUGAGGCCCCAGGUUAGACUUGAUCCUAAAGGUCUUCGUCUGUAUAUAUACUUUCAAUUUUGAUCAACUGCAC
Molecule: long non-coding RNA, 264 nt
Filed under: Mytilus galloprovincialis (Mediterranean mussel)
Lineage: Eukaryota; Metazoa; Mollusca; Bivalvia; Mytilida; Mytilidae
Source: RNAcentral